ACCCCGCCCAGACACGUGCUGCCUUUGUUCCCGCCGCGGCCCCCGCCGCUGAGGCCGCGGGCCGUGUGAAGAGUGGCCCCGGUGCCAGGUCAACUUUCCUGCCAAAGGUCUCCAGAUACGGACUCCCAGCAUGGCUACAAGACUCUCAUUAAGUAAUGAAUAGAGCUCUGACCAAGCCAGAAGGGGCCACAUAGAACGCUUGAACUUGCUUGGAAACCCUCCAGCACUCAAGAAAAGACGCCUUUUGAAAAAAAAAUUAUUUUAUUGGAACUCAUCUGAACAUCAGAUAUACCUGGUGUUGGUUAGCAAGAACCGUUUGUACAUUUGAUAUUGAUGGUGCCAAAACCAAAACAGUGACUGGACAUGAUGGAGAGAGAAGGUGGUUGAGAACAAAAACCUGAUUUUGAAGAGGAAAAUAAAAGCCAGUCAGAUUCAGUGAAGAUGCAAAACCUGGUACAACAAAAUCCUUUUACAAAAUAGAAAUCUAUUACCAAAACCUGGAAGGAUAAUCUGAGAAAGGUUCUAAAGAAAGAGAAAGGAGGCCAGCGGAAGGAGGCAGGAGGAGGAGGGAGGAAGAGAGGAAAGACAGGUGAGAAAGGACACAGCGCAGUGGGGCCUGCUGAGGACUGCUGGGAAGAAAGCAUGCUAAGACAGCGCCACCCCGUCGUCGGCUCACACUCUUAGGAGGCAGAGAGAGACAUUCUGGGAAGGGGACGUGAGGGUGCUUCAACCCAACAAAAAAGGGACAAACAAAAACCCCACCCAGCCUCAUUCCCGAUGUCCACUGUUUUGAAAAGGGAUCGGUCAUCUGACAGCAGGAAGAAGGGUGGCGAGGGAGAGAGCGCAGCAGAUGGAGUUCAGACAGCCCAACUCCUCUAGAGGAAAGAGAAAGGAUAUGGUCUCCUGGGUGAGAGAGCAUAGAGAGGAGAGGAGAGCAAAGGGGGAGGAGGGAUGGUGGAAACACUGAUGUCUAGUCUAGUUACUGUGUUAAAGAAGCCACAUGCACAGCAGGCACCGAGGGCUGAGGCCCACACUGCGCACCCGUGUGGCCGUAGUGGACACUAGCUCCUGGACUUGUUCCCAUUCUGUGACAGGUCAGAGCAGAGCCGGACGCGGUGGUAGUGGUGGUGCCACAGCUGGCCCUUCAGCUAGCCUGCUGGAGCCCAUGUCAGAGAGGAAGGGUGGACAGGCCAGAAGGCAGAGAAGAACACCAACGCCUCGUUUCAAAUAAAAAAGAAAACAGCAGUCUA
This is a non-coding RNA of Peromyscus maniculatus bairdii (prairie deer mouse), 1250 nucleotides long. The record is from RefSeq and is a predicted model, not a curated record. Lineage: Eukaryota; Metazoa; Chordata; Mammalia; Rodentia; Cricetidae.